UAAACUGGCACAUUCAGCGAACAUAGCAUAG
Molecule: non-coding RNA, 31 nt
Filed under: Rattus norvegicus (Norway rat)
Lineage: Eukaryota; Metazoa; Chordata; Mammalia; Rodentia; Muridae
Source: RNAcentral